GGUGAACGAAUCUAAAUGUUUAGAGUAUAUUUUAGUAUUUUUGAGAAUUUAUUGGAUAUUUUAAAGGUUGGAAUUGUAAAAGGAGAACUUUAGGGUACACCACUGGGAGUUUCGUAUUAGCUGAAAAUAGUUUUAUUAAGUUUUAGACCUUAAUGAUGUGCAAAAAGGGUUGGCAUGACUCUUUACAAGUUUAUGAGUUUAUCUACUAUUUUUAGGAAUUUUGGUCGAAUUUUUGGAUAAAAGGAAAUGGAAGAAAAAACAGUUGGGUACACUCAGCCGUGUGUACCUAGCGAUUUCAUGCAGUUUGUGAGGCCAACCAGUGGGGCCAGGUCAACAGAUCAGCGGAGCCGUGGUGGAGGGUGACUGUGCUAUGGACUGGUGUGGUGGAUUCGUGGACCAAGUGUUGGAUGUGAGGGUGGUCUAGUGGACCGGGUGCAGCGCUCGGUGCUGACAAGGUGGUAGCAUGGCGCGUGUGUGUUGCUGAUGCGUGGGGCUGGUGCUGGUGUGGCUGCCACGUGGGAGCGCUGCCCAUGAUCAGGCGCCGGGCGCGGCGGCGGAGCAGGGGGGUCACCAGAGUUCUCGCCAUCGACCGCUACAGAGCCGCGUUUGUGGCGAGGACUAGCUCUAAGUGUUGGUGUUUUAGACCGGCAACCCGCCUAGGGGGUACCCUAGGUGGUCUUGUGUGCGGUAAGGAUCGUCGAGAAUCAAGAAAU
Molecule: long non-coding RNA, 713 nt
Filed under: Setaria viridis
Lineage: Eukaryota; Viridiplantae; Streptophyta; Magnoliopsida; Poales; Poaceae
Description: long non-coding RNA (SVIR_LNC000751)
Source: RNAcentral